UACGUAGGUGGCAAGCGUUGUCCGGAUUUACUGGGCGUAAAGGAUGUGUAGGCGGAUAUUUAAGUGAGAUGUGAAAGCCCCGGGCUCAACCUGGGGACUGCAUUUCAAACUGGGUAUCUAGAGUGCAGGAGAGGAAAGCGGAAUUCCUAGUGUAGCGGUGAAAUGCGUAGAGAUUAGGAAGAACAUCAGUGGCGAAGGCGGCUUUCUGGACUGUAACUGACGCUGAGGCAUGAAAGCGUGGGGAGCAAACAGG
This 253-nucleotide ribosomal RNA is filed under the name uncultured bacterium. Its description in RNAcentral is "partial 16S ribosomal RNA". It matches the Rfam family "Bacterial small subunit ribosomal RNA", at positions 524 to 776 of the family's 1533-position model. The record is from RNAcentral.